RNAcentral lists this ribosomal RNA (301 nucleotides) under uncultured bacterium. Its description in RNAcentral is "partial 16S ribosomal RNA". It matches the Rfam family "Bacterial small subunit ribosomal RNA", at positions 509 to 807 of the family's 1533-position model. The record is from RNAcentral.
CAGUAGCCGCGGGAAUACGAAGGGGGCUAGCGUUGCUCGGAAUCACUGGGCGUAAAGGGUGCGUAGGCGGACACUUAAGUCAGGGGUGAAAUCCCAGAGCUCAACUCUGGAACUGCCUUUGAUACUGGGUGUCUUGAGUGUGAUAGAGGUAUGUGGAACUCCGAGUGUAGAGGUGAAAUUCGUAGAUAUUCGGAAGAACACCAGUGGCGAAGGCGACAUACUGGAUCAUUACUGACGCUGAGGCUCGAAAGCGUGGGGAGCAAACAGGAUUAGAUACCCCUGUAGUCCCUGUCUCUUAUAC